Molecule: long non-coding RNA, 3779 nt
Organism: Ictalurus punctatus (channel catfish)
Lineage: Eukaryota; Metazoa; Chordata; Actinopteri; Siluriformes; Ictaluridae
Exons: 2
Source: RefSeq, a predicted model, not a curated record
UCUUCUCCUCUGUCUUUCCUUUGCUGUGAUGGGUGGCAUGCAUCUCCAUCUCCAGCUCCAUCUCCAUCUCCAUCUCCAUGGAGUUCAUGUUUACAGCAGGGCUUCUCAAACUUCUUCUUUUUUUUUUUUUCUUGUGCAGCAACAAAACAACAAAACAAAAACAGCAACUUAUUGGUCCUCCUUGGUAGAGAUUUAUUUUAUGAACAUAAUCUAUCAACUAUUAUCAACUAUAUAAAUAUGAGGGGUCAUUUAUUAAAAUACUUUUACAAUAAUAUUUUUCUAGAAAUAAUAAUUUAUAGAUUAAUCCCAAAAGGAAAUUCAUGCAUUCCAUCAGCAAUCUAACAAGUAGUGCAAGCUAUAAUAAUAAUAAUAAUAAUAAUAAUAAUAAUAAUAAUAAGCUUAAAUAUAGUAUAGGAGUACAGCCCUAUAUAUACUCAAGUCCUCUGAGGAAAUGUGAGUGUUUUAUUGCCCUUAUGGAAAAUGAGAUUAUCCGAGCAUGAUAUGUGGUCACGUGUGAGAAACACGUGAAAGUGCAUUUAAACAUGUUACACCCUGGAAUUGCAUACAAGUAAAUGGACAAAACGAAUAAACCCACGUAUCGUGUAUGUACAAAAAAUAAAAUAAACGUGUGAAAAAUUCUUUUCAAAAUGGACUGUUCUUUCCAUACACUUACGUGCCCAAAACUGUCGGCACGUGUCCUUGUGUACUGAUUGUCCCCUCUGAAUGUGAGGUGUGCUACAGUAGCUACCUGAGCGCUCACAAAUGACCUUCCUGUAGUUUCAUUACAUUUCGAGACGUGUUGUAGAUAGAUUUUUUUAUUUUUUAUUUAUUUAUUUUUUGGAAUGCGUGGGAUGUAAAUGAAAGCUGAUCACAGAUGUGUGCUUCUUUGGUCUGGAGGAGGACGACCCUGGAUGACCCGUGAGGUUCUUCAUCCUAAAGUCAGCUGGGAAUUGUGGGUAUGGGGUAUUUAGGAGCACCACUUCGGUCGUACGGAGUGGUCUGAUACUUCAGUCCAGAAAGGAAUGCGAAUAAUUAAUGAUGAUGAUCAGGAUGAACAGCACAGGUGCUGUAACGAGUUUAGGGUGCGUAUUAGACGUGUCAUGGGUUUUAGUAGUUUAAAAAUAGCUCAGUAUUAAGAAUAAAAACACAUGUCGGUAUUUAUCCUGUUGUUGUUUAUAAGCUGAAAGAGACCGUGGCUGCGAUGAAAGAUGCAGCACUGCUUCGCCAAAAAUGCAUAUUUGUUUGGUUUAGUUUUGUCUGAAAUGUCUUGUUCUUGCGUGCGUUUGUGGUUCUGUUAUGUAGGAUAAAGUUAGGACCAUGAUGUCGUGGAUUACACAGCAAGAAAGGAGUCGCUGCCAGACGUAAAAGGAACUUAAUUAGGUAAAUAAAUAAAAAUAAAGCAGGCAGAAGUGUAUUUUAAUGAGUAAACCGUCAGCAGUGAUCAUACACCGUGACUAACUAUGAACCUGUAACAACUCUAUUAGGAUUCAUUUUAAGAUCCAUGAGAGAUUUAUUCUCCCCUACAUUCCUCUCACAGUCAUCUCAGCCGACUUCAUUGUUUGAGAGCAGAGGAGGAUUUCUGCUGAGGAGUUUCUGAUUCCUCACAUUCACAUUACAUUAUAACUCCAUGAGCUGCGUACAGAGCUGUUGUUUCAGGUUCAGAUCGAGGACAGAGGAUGUGAUGUGAUUUAAAGGUAGCGGAGGAAGGAAAGGGAAGGAAAAGGUGGGACUUGACAUUUUGCUUUUAAUAGGCUUUUACACAUUCCUGUGGGCAGUUUCACACAUGCUAACUGGAAUCUGCAGUUAAAUGUUGCGCUCUCGCCUCAAUUCGCAGAUUAUUUUCGUUUUCCGAGAACCCCAGCAUCUUUUCUUGGCUCGUCUACGCUCACCUCAACAGCCAGGAAGUUAUUUAAAGUGAUGAAGCACGCUGAGUGAGCUGAGAUUACCCAGAAAACCUCUCCGAUUACAUUUCACCAGAGUUACGGGGAAGAUGAUGCAGACUGGAUGUGUUGUUUGUUUAUUAUAUGUUUGUUUUUUUUGGCUAGCCAUAUUGUGGCCUCGGUGGGUUUUAGCUGCCCUCAGUGAUUGCCUGAUUACAAGUAGGUCGCUGAUGUGGUCAGAGAGGAGUAACCACACAGCGGAAACACAGAGGUAAUUACACUCGUCUGUACACACACAGACACACACACUGGUAUGGCAUCUCCUAAUCGUUCACUUCAGCGGGAUGAGCAGCUGAAGCAAUUCUUUUCAUCAUCAAAUAAUGUAAACAGAUUUUUUUUUUCUAUUAUUAUUUCAUGUUCCAUAAAAUGUAGCGAUAUUAAAUUAAAUAAACUUGACCGUGUUUAUCUUUCUAUCUCUUUAUCUACAUGUUAUUCAGUCGGUAUCCUGAACAUAGGAUACCUUACCAUAAAUCUUAAUAAGAAAAAUAAAUAAAUAAAUAAAUAAAUAAAUAAGCCAAACUUAACAGGCCUUCAUUAAACAAUGGAUUUUUUUUUUUAAUUAAUUACAGCACAGUGGAAUUCUUUUCUUCGCAUACCCCAGCAUGUUAGGAAGUUGGGGUCAGAGUGCAGGGUCAGCCAUGAUACAGCGCCCCCAUGGAGCAGAGAGGGUUAAGGGCUUCGCUCAAGGGCCCAACAGUGGCAGAUUAGCAGUGCUGGGGCUUGAACCCCCGACCUUAUGAUCAGUAACCCAGAGCCUCGUACCAAUUAUAUAUUUACAAGACACUUCCAUAAAACGCAAUGAAAUACUGGGUUAAAGUGGAUCUGAUCGUCUAGUACAAUCCGCAAGCAGCUUCUUUCCUUUCAAACAUGCAUUGUAGAUGUGCUGCUAUGAAAGACGUCCAAACUUUAAAAAAAAAAAAAAAAAUGGUAACGCUGUCUAAAGUUUUACCCUGUCCUCAAGAGAUCACGAGUUAAAAUUUCUACGAUGCCACAGCCGUCCAAAACAGCAUAACUCUGGGUGAAAGAUGUAUAGGUAAUAUAGCGAGAGGUGGAACACAAAACCAGUAAAACGGACUAUGCCCCCCCCCCCCGCAAAACUGAUUAUUCCACCUACGCUGGUAGAAAACUCCCUUUGUGAUUUGUGACUUUUUUUUUUUUUUGUUCUGAUAUAUAAAUAUAUUCAUCUCAUAAACAACCCCUGUCCCUGUUCUCCAGAAAGCCUUAAAGCAUUAGAGAGCAGUGGAAUGAGCAUAUCAGGACAGUCAAUCAUUAGUGUAAAUGAAAAUGAAACACAUAUGAAAUAACGCUGAUGCGGUCAGUCCUGUAUUCGGUCUUCAAACUGUUCCUCUACUCAACAUAUAAUACACGUACACGUCCUGUGCGUGGCUUUAAAGGCCGCACAUGUUUGCAGUGAAAUCUCUGCCGGGUUUAAAGGCUGCUAAUCAGCUUUGUAGGCACGCAGGCUGCUGUGCUGAUUACUAAAGGCUUGUCUGCGCUGCUCAUCAGAGGAAACGAACACUCAGCAGCUGUGGAUAUUUAGGUCUAAUUAUUAAUAACCUCCGGCUGACAGCAUAUGGACAUCUGUCUCCCCCAAUAUCCUUGGAUAUGAAUAUCUGCCUCAAGCCAUAUCCAGUUCUUUAGUAACAUCCCACAGACACACUGAGACUUGCUGUCAAAUCCUAAACUGUUCAUCGGUAUUCAGACUCGAUCUUAUUUUGUCACACGCACAACUACACACAGCACGACACGCAGCGAAAUGUUCAUUACGACUGUCCGGGAUAUGAAAAUAGAAUUUAUUUACAUAAGCUAGAAUUUACUAUUAUACAGGGAAAAGAAAAA